CAGAACUGUGGAGUCCGGACAAGAGUCCUGCUUGCUGAAAGCAAGGUUGGAUAUGAGCUAAAUCUGAGUGGAAGAACUUGGGUUUUGCUGGAGAGAGGGAGAUUGUGUGUAUGGAGCACUCUAGGGAGAGCACAUGGAGUUGGGAAUGUAACUUGUUUCAUUUUUUGUUAUUAAGCAGUUAACUUUAUAUUAUAGAUGUAGGCAGAGAGAGGAAGUCCCCCGUGUCCAGGAGCUAUCUGAAGCAAUGGAAAUGCACUUGUGUUAGACAGGAUGCUUGAUACUGCAGUGCUUCAAGAAUAAUGUUACAUUCCUGUGCUAAAGCAGCAAGUGGAACAUCAGGAACAGUCAGCCAGCUCUCAGAAAGUUCGUAGAGACUUUAUCGCAAGAAGAAAGCAUCAAUUAGACUUGGUUUACUGCAGUAAGUGAUACAUUUGGCAAGGAAACGAAUUCACAGCACCGGAGCGAACAGGCUGGGCAGCCCUCUGCCCCGGGCACGGCGCGUUGUCAGAGCUGAGCUGGCUGUCUCAAGGCUGGAGAAAACAAACAGGGAAACACAUGUCAAAGAGAUAAAUAGCUCUGCUGCUCUGAGCUCUCCGUGGAGGCCAUUCGUCUCCAAGAUAAGGAAGAAUGCACUCCAAAGCUGAAAAGAUAAGUCAAAAGCCACAAUAUGAUUCAGCACGGCCUUUGGAGGAUGCUCGAGGACAAGAACAAAGCUAUGCACCUCGGGUGAGGAGCAUGAGUUCAGUGUGGGGAGCCAGCAUGUACCUUAACCAGUGAUGCAGGCAAGUGAAUGCUCAGCAAGCAGCUUGGUCGGAGGUGGCAGCUCCUCGAAGCGUGAGUUUUGCAGCCUUCAGCUGUGCUGCUCGGACUGCAGUCAGCAGCGAGGACCACAGAUGGAACAAUAGCAGUGGUAGGAUAAUGGACCUGCUGACUGCUGCCAACAGCUGGAGCAGGGAACUCAUCACAUCCUCUGGGUCCACCUGGCUGGGGGUACUGAGCACCAAGAGACACGUGGCGCGCUGAGGAGCGAUGCUCGGGGAAUGUCACGUGAUGGGAACAACGUGCUUGGAAGGAGAAUGGCUGCCGAGGGUCAAGUCCUGGUGCGUGUCCUUCCCUGCCCCAGUGCUUCUUGGUGUGCUGCUGCACUCACAGCAGUGCUGCAGGGCUCUGUGUGCUGUGUGCAGGCUGCCUUCCAUCCGUGUGGUGCGUUCUAACUUGGCUGUAACAGGCAGAUUGCUCUGGAGGAUUUAGCCCUGUAAUUAAUUUAGGAAUUAAGUUGUCUGAAAUAGUCACGUAGCUGAGAGCGCAAGAGGCAGUUGGGGGGGUUUUUGGCCCAUCCUUCUGUUGCUGCUGUCCCUUGGCCUGGCCAACUGCUCUGCCCCCAGCUGUGGCACAGGGGUGGGCAGAAAGUGCAAUGGAGCUCUGUCAGACACAGCCACAGAGGGCCAGGAGGGGGGGGUAAGGGUGAGUGGAACAGUGUUGUCUGGCAGCUGAGUGAAGUCUUUAUUCCAGAAGACAGCGAUGCUAAUGUGGUUAUGCUAGAAGGCUGUGCUCCUCUGGGGUUUGAGUUACGAAUAAUUACCCUGAUACAUGUUUCUUGAAACUGUUUUCUGUUGCCGAAAUCAGCUUGUGGAGCCUUAACGCUGUGCUCGUAACGACCCUAAUGAAAAGUCUUACAUUGAGCUUUUCCCAUUAACUGUAAAGCCGGUUGGGCACCAACAAACAUCUGAGCUGUGCAGGUGGCAGAUGGAACAUGCAUGUACGUGUGUGUGUGUGAAUCAGUUUGUUUCUCCAAGUGGCUAAAAACAAAAGUCUGAGGAGCUCCUGCUGCAAGGUGAUGUUCCUGGAUGCUGCUCAGCUCACGGCCGUGCUGGCUGCUGCUCGUGUGAAUGGCCGCCUCUCACUGUGCUUGGAGCUGAGGUGAGCACUGAGCUGCCGUGGCACAACCCAACCCACCUUUAGCAGGCGCUCCUGGCCACUGAACUCAGCUGCUGAGAGCAUUUGUGCAGUUGACUGUUGAUAAUUGGGGUUGGGUGUGUGUUCCUACCCACUUUGCGUUGCUAACGCUCCAACUUGUGCCUUAAAUCCAAGGAAGCAGACCAAGUCCCAGACCAGUCCUUUGAAUCAGCUGGGAUUUGACAGUGAUGAGAAGAUACCUUUGCUGGUACGGUGGAGCCUGUUUGCAUGCCCAUGUUGUGAGGGUGGGUACACCAGAACUGCUGCAGCACAGGUGCAACGGUGAUGCCUUGGGUGCCUCUGCUGUCAGUGCCAUGAUAUAAAUGUUUGGUGGAUAUUUUAUGGAUCAGGGAGAGCAGGCUGAAUGACUGACAGCUGUGGGAAGACAUAAGUACCUGCUGACAUUCAACACUGGAAAUGUGGUUUGAGUGCGGAACUGACCGCUGCAAUUAGAAGCCACGUGGUGAGCAGACGUGAACUCAGGGGAGGUGUUACAUUGCUGUAAUGCAAGUGUGAGGCAAGGCAGAAGCAGGUGCACAGAACACAGGGGAUGUGUUUAACCCACCCCAAGAAUGCAACAGGCAUGCGGUGCCGCACCAAGCAGCGGCUGUUGUCUGCUUGGCUUCAGGCCCUGCGACACAGAGGAUGCUUUUUGGUGCUGUGAGCUGAGAGAGAGCUGCCUGCAGGGACGUGGGCGUUGUGCUUGGGGUGGCUGUUUGGGCUGCUGGUCGCUUGUCCCCUAACCUCGUGUCCUUAUGGCACCCUGGCAUCGCAAUUUUGACAGAACAAGAAGCUGAGGACACUGUGUAGGUGGGAGCAGUUCUCCCAUUCACAUCAUUUGCUGUUGAAGCUGCAUAUUGCUUUAGGGAGAAUUGGCAGGAUUUGGCUUCAAUGUAAUUAAAAAACAAAAUACAAAGCUGCCCACCUGCAGCGCUCGACGAGGAUCUCAUGGAAGCAUUUCCCAGGUCACCAGCCUGCUCCUGCACUCCACCCUCGACCCCAGCAGCCCUGGCAGUUUGCUGCCUGUGACGGGUGUGUGGGUGUCCCUCGCUGAAAGGUGAACUGGAAAACAGAGUUUCAGUCCGUUUCAAUCUGGUGGUGCUCACUGUGAGUUCUGGUUCUCUUUCUCUGUUGCGUUUCCCCAUUGCUACAACAAUUAAUUAAGAACGGUUCUGCUGAAGCCUGUUGAUUAAUUUGGCACUUGGAAGCUUAAUGAGGUGUAAACCCGCAGCCUGCUGCUGACGCGGUGAUUUAUAUCAAUUGGUGUGAUUAGCACAGGUCCUCAAUCACCGCCGUGUUCCUCCCUGCGAUCCGUCACAGCCCCAAUGGGGAACCUCAGUGCUGCGUUUCUGUUCCGUGGUGCUGCUGACAAGGAAAGUACAACCGGUGGCGUGCCUCAAGGACAGCAACGCCCAAAUUGCUCCAGAGAUGAGUGAGAGGCAGCCCUGCUGGGUGUACAACCGCCCCAGCUGGGCGCUGGGAGGGUUUCUUUCGAGAGGCAGCAAGCACCUGGCUGGCUCCCGUUGCUGCAGACUGUUGGCAGCCCACGGUGCGUGGCUGUGAAAUCCCUGUGGGUUGCUGCACUUGCUGUGCUGUGAUGGUUCGUUAGCAACGUGUGCUGCUGCAACAUCAACCCAGGGGUGCAGGAGCUGCCUGUGGUCUCUUCUCCCUUCCAUCGUAGAAUUAUAGAAUGGUUUAGGCUCGAAAGGACCUUUUAAGGUCAUCUAGUUCCAACCCACUGCUAUAGGUGGGGAUGCCUCCUACUAGGUCAGGUUGCUCAGACCCCCACCCAGCCUGGCCUUGAACACCUCUAGGGAGGGGGCAUCCACAGCCUCUCUGGGCAACCCGUGCCAGUGCAUCACCACCCUCACAGUAAAGAAUUGCUUCUAUCAACCCUGUGCAGCAGUCAAGUGAGGGCUGUGAGUUCUCUGCUCCCUGAUGAUGCCAGCAUCCUGCUAACUCCAUGUUCUAACAGAAAUGCAACUGCUCAGGGCUUUGGAACACCUUUGCUUAGGUACGAUGAGAAGAAGUGCUCUCACUGGCAUAAAAACAUAAACCCACAGCUCUAUAUCUGCUGCUCAGAAAUGGUGGAUUUAUUGGAUAGACGUUCACAUGCGUGGUGCUGGUGCACAGGCCCCAGCUGUGCCCUGGAGCUGGAGCAGCAUGAGGGCAACGAGCAUGCAUCAGUCCUGCUCAUGUGGUUCAAAAUGGCUUGAGCUCACGCAGUGUAGAAUGGUACCACUGCAUUUCUGGGGGCUCUGAUUGCUGGGGGGGAAAAAAACAACAACAAAACCAAUGCUGAAACCAGAAACAUCCAAUUAAGCUGCACCAAAAUAAACUGACCUUAAAGCGUUACCUUAAAGUGGAAUAAACAGGUCAAAUGGGUAAAUCUAAAACCUGCUGCAGCCAAGGUACAGACCUCUCCUAUAUUCACAGAACCAGAAGGCAGCUUUGCUGUCGAUUCUUACGGCAAAGAACACGUGUGCUGUGUUCUUUUAUUCAGUGUUACGCUUUUAAGUUGAGCAGUGAGGCAUGGACAGGCCCAUUUCUGUACCGUGACAGUUGUGUAAACCAAUUGUAACAGCCUUUCUACUUCCAGAGCAAAGAGUCCUUCGAGUAAAUGAGUGUUUGACCCGUAGCCACUGGGAGCAGCAUUUGCUCUGGGGCCCAUCAAAGCCCUGUGUGGAGAAAUAUAAUUUAUUUUAAUGAUAUUUAAACUAAUGAGCUUGGCUAAUAGAUAUUUUUGAAGCCCUUUAUGGGGGUUCAGCUAUGGGACAACAUGCCACUGGGCACAAAUGCUCAUUUACCCAGCAUGAUACCAGAGAGCGGGCUGCUUAUUAGUAAAGUAUUUGUGUUUUUUUUUAAAGAAUCCAUUUCCAUAAAUUACCAGUAAGAAAUUAAUGAAGCAGCUGCACGCAGGGAUGCUCAGGGUGUGCAAAGCUGGGAUGCUCCUGGCCCCACACUCCCAGACCUGUGCUGCUGCUUUGCCCUCGGCCUGGCUGGGAGCUGCGUGGCACAGCUGCUGCCUGCACGCUCUGUGUGUGUUGGUGUAAGGGCAGGGCAGGAGUUCUUGGCACCGGUGCAUCCAUGGCCAGAUCAAACUGUUCACAUUCCCAGCACUCAGGGCUGGGGAGGGGAAGCUCUUGCAAUAACAUCAUUGCAUCAAGGAAUAUGGGAAGGAGGCAGAGCUUGGAAGAGCCAUUUGCCUGCCCGGAGGCAGGAUUAUCCACAUCAAACCAUCACCAGCAGCUGCUUGUUUAGCCCGUCCUCGUGCGCUGCCAGCGCUGGAGAUCACACAGCAUCUCAUUGCCGUGAGUUUCAUUGCAGCCGGUGGCACGGACAUGUCAGUGCAUACUUGGCAGGGAGCAGGGCCAGAUCCUUUCUCCUCUUGAGCAGCAGCGAGGUGAGGCUCCUUUACACUGCAGCACCACGGGGCUGCUCCGUGGGCACAGCCUGCUGGUACCAGCAGCCCGGCUGCGCAGCGAGCAGAUGAAGGAUUACGGUGAUCAAUUUGGUGAGAAGGGAGAUUUUUCUCCGUCUGUCCACCCUCAAGGCUCUAUUUCCUCAUAAACCAUUCCCAGAGACAUCAAGAAAAUUGAAGCUGUUCAGAAAUGGAAAAGAUAGUUAGCCCAAAAUGAAUGAAUAUCCAAUACACCGGCUGACUUUCAUGAAACAUAACGGGAGCAGCCAGCUGAACCGAUGGCUUUCCUGCAGCAUGCUGAUUUUUUUUUUAAAGCAGGAAAGCGCUUUUGUGGCAUGGUACUUGCAGCAGUGAUGCUCAGCUCCACGUUGCACUGCCUGGUGAAGGUCCCAGUGAUGUGCUGGGUGUGGGCUGGCAUCCAGCACCAAACCUUGGCCCUGCUGCAUGUCCUGGCCCUGCUGUUUGUGCUCAUUAGCAGAGCCUGCGGGUGGAGGACUGGUGCUGGCCGGCCUCGGCUGCUGCAGUUGCCUAAUGCAGCAUCCCGGCUCCCAAGCCCUGGGGCUUUCUGUUCAUUUAGUAGCCUAAUGUAAUGCAUUCUGAUUUUUUUUUUUUUAAUUUAAGGGAACAGCAAAAGAUGAAGAAGAGAAGAUAUUGUAGAGGGUGUCUGUGAAGCUGUCACACCCCGUGUUCACGUGUCCUUGGCUCCAUUGAUACUGCAGCUGGAUUUCUGUUGGAGCUGCAGGGCAGCCCUCAGCCCCCUCCUCACCCCGUGCAGCCAGGGAUGCUCCAGAGCCCUGGGGAACAGAGGUGCUGCAUUCAUUUGGGUUUUGCCUGAAGCCGCCUUUCUGCCAGAAGAGCUUCCCCUGGCCUUUGUCCACCGAAGUCCAGGCUGUGGUGGGGAGGACAGAGCUGCACCCUAAAAUAAUUGGGGUCCUCCCAGGUAGAGCCUGGCCCAGACAUACUGCAGUGUGAGAGCCCGGCACCCAGCACUCCUCCUGCUAGCUGUCAGAAGGUACUAUUAGUGUCACACAGGUCUCAGAACUUCUUGCUGUUGUUGUUGUUUCCUCUAGUUUGGUUCAAGAAUGUUGCUGAGUGUGAGAAAACAGGAAGCGGUGUCAAUAGCAGUGUGUUUUUCCUUUUCACAGACACCCUUUGAACUCCCUUUAUUCUGCCUCUCCUCCCGUUACACUUGCACACCCUAUAACGAACCUCGUGGUGCUUCCAAAUGCUUUUACUAAGACAAAAAAAGGUGUGUGAUUUUUUCAAGUCCAGUCUUAUUUUCUUCAUUAUCUGGAGACAGCCUUCAGAAUAAUGAUUACAAAUGGCUUUAGCUUCUAAUGUGCUCUAAUCAACCAGGAGGGCAGAGAAUGAAGCCAGCAGGAGCUGGGAGGGUGCCGAUGGCUGUGAUGUGUCCCCUGCCCUCCUCACAGCGUCCCUAUGGGUGACAGGUCCAGCAGAACCACCAGGAGUCCUUAGCAUGCAGGAGGGGACCUGUGCCCUGUCCUCUGCAGGCUGUGUGCCUGGGGAAGCCCAGCACCACCUGCCCUCCUGGGAGGGGUAUUUCUGGGACAGGUACUUUUUCUUUGGUUGCUCUGUUGGUUUUUUUAGGCUUUACUGCAGUAACCCCGUGGGUUCUCCUGAUUUGCUCUGGUGUGCAUUGGAAAACAUUCAGGUCUUCCAAAACAGUUCCCUGGUGCAGGUGGUACGUGCCCUCCCUUCCCUGCAACAGAAAUACAACAGAUCCCAUAUUAAGGCUUUGGGACAGCCCUGCUCCAGGUGGCCUCGAUUACUAUUGUUGUUCAUCCUUCACGUUGCAGUGAAUCAGUGAUGGAACAACCCUCAGGGUGUUUAUUGAGCCGCAUUUCUCUCCCUUGGCAGUUUUCUGAUAUCAGACUAAGGCUGCUGUCCCUGAGGCUGUGGCUUAAAGAACUGCUUGGAAAAAGUUUUGUCGUGUCCCCUGGAGUCAAAGCACUGAAAAACCACCCAGCGAGCACCAUUAGCACAGCACUUAAUGAUGGCAGAUGAGGCUUUCUGGAAGCUUAAUGAACCAGGAGGUGAGACCACUCCCACCAGCCUUGCAGCCUAACGAAGGAUUUAUCUCUGCCUCUUGUUAUCUCACUGAAUGAUGAAAGCUGCACUCACCACCAUCCAUCUUCAGCGUUCUGUGGCCAGGCUCUGACUGCAGCCCCUGGGCCCCACCGGGGGGACAGGGCUGGGGCUGUCUUUCUGGAUGUCACUGCUGCAGCUUCUGCUGAGGUGUAGUGCCACCCUCAGACAAACUGUCUGCUGUCCCAGCCCCUGAUUUCUAGUGGAAAUUGAAGGGUUGGUGUCAGGACGUUCCUUACCAAGGGUCUGAGCCGCUCGUGACCUCCACUGACCCAUCUUGGCAGCGGAGUAAGCCACCAGCUUCUGCAUGAAGCUGAAGAUGUUGGGGAAAAUGGCAUCAACUCAACCCCCUACUCCUCCUGCUCCUGGGAGUAUCUAUAAAUACCUCGUUGUGUUAGUGGGGAUGGUGCAUUUUGCAGGAGGAAUUUUUGAAGCAGCCCGGUGGCAGCCUGGCAGGUCAUUUUCUAUUCCACGUGUGGCUUUUGCAGCAGUGUGCGAGCGAUGAAGGGCAUUAGCUAAAUAAGAGAUGAUUUAGUGGUGAUGGCACUGCUGGGCCGCGGAUCCCACAGCUGCUAAAUUUCAAUAUAAGCUCCAUAACUCUGGAUGCAGAGAGAAGUGAACGUGCACAAGAGACUGUUUCUGAAUAUAUUUUCCCCCCUCACUCCAAUAAAAGGCGCAAAUAAUAGCAUAUUUUUCAAAGUGCAAAGCACUUUACAUUGCAAAUAGUUACAUUAAAUUUACAUUUCAUGGGUGAGUGGCUGUAGCUGCUGCUUGCCACAUCCUUGCCCGUGACACGACAGCAGUUGCAGAUGAUCUACACCCGCCUGGGCUGACCGUGCCUGGAUUUCCUGGGCCCGAGGCUGAUGGCUGAGUCCUGCCACAGCAGCAGCAAGCCUGCAGUUUCUGGGUGCUUCCUCCAUAAAGGUCAAUGCACUCGGCUCUGCCUGUUGUCUCCAGAGAUAAUCAAUGCAAUGCAAGCGCUCUGUUGACACUUAUGGCCACCACGGAAAACUCAUUUUCAGCCUUUAGGACUGGGUCUGUAGAACCAUUCUAAUAAGCUCCAGUGGGAGCUCGCAGGUUGGAGCCGUUCUGGCAACCUGAUGGCCUUCCCCUCCAGCACUGGAAGGUGCUGACCAAGGCAGAAGAGCUGCGGGGGCAGGGAGCAGCUGGCACGUUGCAGGACAGGUGGUGCUGGGAGCUCAGUGCCCCUUCGCUGCCUCUCACUACGAUAAGAGCAUUUUUUCCUUUCUCUUAUCUGCAACAGGCUUGAUGACAUUUCUGGUCAGUCCCUAUCGUGACCUUUCCACUCAGCACAUUGUUUUAUGCCUUGUCUGAGGUUCAUUGUUUGCCAUGUAUAUCAGUGUUGGCUUUGGCACCUGCCAGCUCGGGCUAUGUGCAUGAGUCACUCUUUACCUGGCGGGGAUGAUUCCUCCUUAGUCACUGUGCUGCCGUUUUCGCUCCUGGCAGCCUUCAAGUCCUGCCCUGUGUGGGGCUGGCCUGAGCCGCAGUGGGCAGCUCCUCCAUGGGACACUGAGGUGACACGAGCGGCAGCACCGGGGCCCUAUCUCUGGAUGUGCAGCUGUGCCCACACCUCUGUCGCAUGCCCCAGCCAGGGAUAAGUGUUAUUCCCUAUGAGAUUCAUCUUGCCAUGGCUUCAUGGGCUGAAAAGCUGUGAGGGUUUACCAGGCAGUGCAGCAGUGGUGACUUUGCUGGUGCAAAGAUGUAGCUGCAGCCCUGCACGCGGCUGCCUUCUGCCCUUCUGUGCUUAUUGGCAGGCUCCUGGGAGAGACCUCCUGCUUCACGGCUGCUGGCUGCCUGUUCCCUGUGAGCGGUGGCGUGGUGACACGCAGCCAUGCACUGCAACACGGAGCUGUGCACUGUGGGGCUGACUGCGUGUCAUGGCACAGAGCUGUGCACCGCAGCACGGGGCUGUGCCACGUCUCCGGGCCUGACUCCUGCCCUCAGGAUGUUAGUUUCCAGAAUGGUGCCUCUCUGAAAGCCUCAAGUAGCUCCUUACUAAACUAGUCCAACACAUAAAGCAUUUCACUGUUGUGCAAUUUCCUGGCAAGCCAGCGGGUCCCCUUAGAAAUGCCCCAGCAUCACUUAGGCUGCUCUGUGCAUACUGUCAGCAGCCUGGGAGCCCCAGGCAGGGCUUGGAGCCCCCGGCCCCCACCGCUGUGCCUGAAGGCUGCCUGCCUCCAGCUGCAUGCCCGCGCUCCCCACAGAACCAGUUUUUCUCCUCCAUCUCUGUGUACCCACGGAGCCUUAUGCCCAUGGGGAUGCUGCUGGUUCCUGGCCUGAGAAUGGAGCUGAGCUGGGCCUCAGGCAGAGAGCUGAUGGAGGAAGCCUCCUGUGCUCCAGCCCAGCACCACGGCCACCUCUGCCUGCUCAGCUCCCUAGGGAGGGGGCAUAGAGCUGCAGACAUCAGUGGGCAGCACAGCACUGGGGGUGGCACGGGGCCUUGCAGCCCACGCACCCUCACAUCAGAGCUGGCCCCUUUGCUGCACUGCCCCAGCGAGAGGGGCAAAGUCUGUGGCCCCACGGGGCCUGGGGCAAAGUCUGCCGUGGCCUCGAGCUCUCUGCUGACUCGGUGCACUUUGCACCCACAGCCAGCGGGGAGGACCCGUGCCCCACACGUGACACUUUUCCAUCCACAGCUGUGUUUUUUGAAAUGGGCGCUUCGGGUUGGGCUGAUGCCAAGGCGUGGGAUCGCUCUCUGUAUUUCUAAAGGAGAGCUGCUCACAGGACCUUAUUUGCGAAGCAGGCUGGGGCUGCCCAGGAAGCUUGGGAUGGAUUCGGUGCAGCUGCGUUGCCUGUGCCGAGCGAGAGCAUCGCGCUCCCUCAGCAGCCUGAGCACGGCUGGGAGGAUUUCCUUCCCCUGCAGCUCUUGUUAAUGAAGAUUGGCUUAGCAGGGGGCGGCUCUUCGGGAUUUGGCGCUUCCUAUGCUACAUGCACAAGGAGGUACAAUCUGUUGGCAGACCUUCCCCCAGAAACGCCCUCGAGCCUCAGCUUAAUUCAUCCCAGCUGGGCACUGCGUGCACAUCUCAGCCCCGUUGUGUCUCAGCCCUGUCAUGGCUCAGCUCCAUUGUGUCUCAGCCCCUUCACGCUGGUGGGACCAGCACCAGUGCUCUGUUCUGUGCGCAGAAGAAGUGCGGUACCCGCUCCACCCCUCCACCAAAUCCCGUCUUUCAGCGUGAGCUGUGGACGUGACGCCAGCCAGGCUUUUAUUCAGGAUUCUGGGCAAGAUCUGUAUGUAUUCUGUUGCUUUUCCAGACCCGAAAAUCAAUCUCUUUGCCGUGCCCGUCCCAGAGCCGCUCGCUACAAACAGCUUCCCACGCUGGAGGCUUUGUUGGGACGCUGCACCUCAGGCAGAAAUCAACUGCUUCUCUGUCUGGAGACAGAAGGCAACCAGUUAGCCACACUUCCUUAUUUUUGUUUAAGUGGCCAUCACAUCCUAAUUACAGUUUCUCUUUUUUUAACUACUGUACUCAAUUUACAGCCUAAUUACCCUUACCUUGUUUGUUUAAUGAAGCUUACAUAACGAUUCCUGUGAUCUUCAUGAAACGUUACGCCGGGAUUUUAUUUUUCACUUUAUAAACUGCGAUUUUACAUUAAUGUUUCAUAACCUCAGGUUUCUAAUCAUAAAGUCAUAAGGAGUUUAAUUGAUUUGAAACUAGCCAUGCCCUGAAGUGUGUACAUGUCAGAUUGAUUCAAAUUGAUCCAAUGUGCUUAAAUAAAGCUCGUGCCAGCAGCGCACGGCACCUUCUGCUACCAGAUACUUGCCCAAAGGCCUCUGGAAGCUUAAUUAUGCUGCCAUCUCGGUACCAUCAAUUACUGACUAGGAGACGAUUUCCGGUGGUUUGUUGUAGGUUGCAGGUUUGUUGCAGGCCGGAGCAACGCCCCGGGUGCCCUGGGACCGCAGUGCAGGUGGGCACAGAGCAUCAGCCCCAGCAGAGCUGGUUGGUGCGCUGCCGAGGCUGGCUCUGCCUUGCCAGUGAGACAUGGGAGCUCUGCGAGCAGCAUGCGUCGCUCUCGGGAGAAUAUUUUUUAUCAGUUGGCCCGUAGAAGUUCACCAAGGAGUUUUGCCAGCACCGAUACAUCUCCGACAUCCCUCCGCUGAUCAUAGCAACGCUUUGGUGCGGAUGAAAUCGAAUUUUAAUUUGCUCGCUUUCACACACACAGUUUUAUUUUCCGGGUGUACGUAUGGAGCUUGCACACGAGGACAAGCCUCCUGGGGUCCCGGUGAUGUGUGCCGCCCUGCAGCCGCGUGGCGUGAUGGCAGAGCCUGGUGGGGUCAGGCGCGAGGACGGGGUGCGGGCGGUGGGAUUUAUCUGCGCUGCGGGGCGGGGGGGUCCUUAUCUCCGCAGCGGGCUGAUGGAGCACUGCUCUUUCAAUCUCGAUAAGCAUGCGGGCAGCAUGCAUAAUUCUUGCAGAGGUUUCCUUCCAGCCUAAACAGAGACUCUGCAAUCUUUAUGCUGCUCGGAAGAUAAAAGGUAAUGAGACUCCGUACAUUUCCUGCCCUUGUCUCUUUACCAACCUUUCAAUUGCUUCCAAAAUGCCCUCUUGUAACCUCUCCAUUAGGAAGAGAUUGGAGGGCUGCACGCUGCUCUUACUGCAGGCAGCGCCCAGGGAGAGAGCCCUGCAGAACUGCUGCGGGGUCAGCCCCAGUCAGUGCUGGGGAGCAGCUCGGGCAGCUCCAGCACCCCGAGCCGUGGCAGGAGGCUGUGGCAGCUCACAUGUCUGCACCCACAGAGGCAUUACAGAAACAGCAGUGCGUUGGAAGCACUCGUGUUCCCGAGGUCACGCCGUUGCAUUUUAUCAUUUGAAAGCAACGUGCGCUGCCUUUUGAAACCUGCUGAAGCCCAGCCACACUAGUGCUCUCCUCAAUGUGCAGCGAAGAACAGCUUCUGUUCUUCGUUAAACAGGGAUGCCGUCGGCUUUUAUUUUUGUGGUUCAAAGUUGCUCCCAUCCAUUUUAUUCUUGCUGCUUUGAGCUGCCAGCACUGCGUGGCACAUCUCAUCCACCUUUCAUUCUGCUCUGGCUCUGCUCUACUGUGGUGAUGUCAAAAUCCAGGCUCACCUCCCAGCACCUAUACUGCUUCUAGACCAGAAUGGUGUGAUUCCUAUCCCGUGUUUCUUUAGGUAAAUAAACUACAUAAAGGUGAAAAAAUGGCUGAGCUGCAACCUCUGUUCCAUGCCUUGUGUUCCUUCUGUGUGCACAGUGACCAGGAGAGGAUUGUGCCCUCCUCACUGCUGCAGGAGCCAGGCUCCAGGCGCAGCUCUGCGUGCAUCCAGCUCUCUGCCUGCUCCUGUGCUGUGGAUGCUCGGAGCAUUCCCACACCUGGGAGCAGCAGGGCACACUGCUGCUGGUGGUUCUGGGUCACGUCGGUGCUCCGUGUCUGCUCAGGGCCAGCCUGCCCCUCACUGUGUCAGCCUGCUCCUCCCAAGGCAUUGCAAUGCAGCGAGCCACGUGCCAGCACAUCACCAAAUGGCCAUUGAUUUCCCAGCAAGGCGUCUGAGCCGCAGGCAGAGCGCUGCUCUUCAGCCCGGCUGCGUGCUGCGAGAAAUCGGUGAGGUAGAAUCUGAAGACCCGGCGUGCCCGGCUGACCCCACAAAGGGCAGCAGCAGGCGGCGGUACGGUGUGUGUGUAUGAUGACAAGUGAACGCCUCGGGCUCUGUGCCAGCACAGCAGCACGCCAGCUUGCUUCUAUAUGGGUCCAUGCCAGCAUCCCUGUGCUCAGCCGGGGCAUGGAGCCCGCAGCACGCAGCCGGGUCGGGCUGCAGAGGUUGGAGCCCCCUGAGCUGCUCAGCAUCAGCCCCUGCCCUGCUGUGGUGGCUGCUCCGUGCUUCGUUUGGUGACCCAAGGGUUUAGGAUCUGAGAUGGGUAAUGGCUCUGCUUGGCUAAUUCAGCUGGUGGGAGGGGAAAGGAUGUGGGCUUGCUCCCAGAGCCCAGUUUCAGACCUCACAAACCACGCUCCAUAGCUGGCAUCUCCUCAGGCAGCGAGCAGCGUCCCAUGGAAGCGGGGAGCUGUGCGGCUGCGGCGCGGGGAUGUGUUUGCGAAUGCAAAGCAGUCACUCAGCGAGCCACCAGGGCUGGAGGCUAACUGCUGCUAAAUGGAGCAGCUGUUGGCUUCUGUUUUCCUCCAGCAGCUUAUCAGAGAUCAUCUCUUCAAUCACAGGCACUUAAAAAAUCUUUGACAAUCAAUUCAUAUUCUACUCUGCGCUGGGGAGAGAAGAAGCGCUAAUAAAAGACCUCCCGUGAUUGCUUCCCCAAUUUCCUUUGUAUGAGAUAAGUUUAGGCCCCAGUUCGUAAAGUACAACGUGCAGGACAUUAAGUUGUUGUUUUAUUCAAAAAAAAAAAAAAAAAAUGCUGCCAGCCCAUAAAGAAUUCAAUUUUGUGAUUCAUUAAACCUUUAUUCCGCGUCUCUAUAUCACACCCUUUGAAUGCAUAAUCCCAGACGGAGUCGGUUGGUAGAGAGAUAAUCCUAUUUUUAGCUUGGAGAAGCAUCCAUCCAGCGGCAGGGCGAGGCAGAGAUAUGAGAGCCCAGCGCUCAGCGCCGCUUCGGGAGAGAUUGUGCCGAGAAACAGGUGAGUUAGGGACGUGCCAAUUCCCCCAGCACCGCGCUGACCCCGGUGCACCCAGCGUCCCUGCGCGCCCACCUCUGCUUGCUGUCUGCUGGCACAGAGCCGCCUGUGCCUCCUGAUGGAUGGCGGGUGUAAAACCCUCCUGCUGAGCCAGGCGGGCUUUAUGGCUCCGUAACUCAUCCCCAGGGCCCCGCGGCGGUGACGGACGGCUCCAAGGCCACCGCGUGUCCCUGGUGGGAUGGAAGAGCCCGAGGAGUCUUCUGGGUGCAAAGGGCGCAAAUUCCGUGCCCCCCAUUUCUUCUCUGCAGGGUGAAGAGUGCUUUUGGGGGAUGCUUUGGCUUCAGAUAUCCAACUGUGUUUCCCCAGGAGAAGCUCUCGGAGCACUGUGGUCUGGCUCCGGCCCGAUCCCCAGCCCCCGGGUUGUGGGGAAGUCUGGGCAUGGAGCUGGAGGCCACCCCUGCCUAUUUCUGAGUCAAUGUGAGGAAGGCUUUUUGUUUACUAACAUUUCUGUUCCACUUUUACAGUUUUAAUCGCAAUACUAAUGAUCCAACCUGUACAUUUCCCAGCCCACCUGGAGACAGUGAGCAGAAGAAUGCCCUUUCCGUGGCCAUGUAUGCCAUCUCCCCAGUGAGUCUCCAAUGGGAAUUGGGGUUGGGGUGGUGCCUCUCCCCAGCACCCAACUGAGCCGGGGCUGCACCACCUGCAGACGGCUGGAAACAGGCCUGGGGGCCACACGAGGAGCACGUGGGCACCCGCAGCCAUCUCACAUCCCACUCAGGUCCCGCAGCUGCCACUGCACUGCCUGACCUUUCUCUGCCCGGGGACGUAGAGUGAUAACUCAGUGCUGCAUUGCCACCAGCGCCUUAAUUGGUCUCAUCUCGUGAACGAAGAUAAAGGUCGAUUCGGAGCUGAGUUCAACCAAUAUGUUCUCCAUAUGGACAAGAAAUGUUGCCUUUGUGUUACCCAUGUGCUGAAGUAGGCCUUUUUUUUUUCUUUCUUUUUUUUUUUUUUUUUUCCACGGGGUUUUAAACUUCAAUGUAGCUAAGCACCAGUCAUUAAAAAAUAGCUCCGGCUACGAGAAGAAGUUACGGUAUUUAUAGGCAGUUAAAAGAAAUCACUGCUUCCCAUUUAAUGCUCCGUCUCAGCAAAUCACUUCAGUACACGACGAAAUUGCAGCACAUGAUGGAUCCUCCCCGCGCUCGGCAGCAUGUGUGCUCCCUUUGAUAUCGGUGGGACCUGAGCGGCUUCUGAAGAUGGGAAGAGCCGCGUUUAUUGGCUUCAAAUGGGUGCUCGGUGCUGGGCUGCAUCAAGGCCAUUUUAUGGGCGCAAAAUUCGGAGAUAUUACAUCAAAGCUGAUGCUAUUUAUAAAGAGUCACAAGCCGCUUCUGACGAUGAGACAACUGCGGGAAGCGAUCAAAGGUUGGAGGGAGAGGUCCCAGCGCCGCGGGCAGAUGGGGGGGGGCUGGAGCCGUGUCCCACCCCGUCCCUACAGCCCUGAUUAUCUCUUAUCGGCUGCCAAUAUUGACACGGGUCCCAGACACCCGGCUCGAGGGCACCCUUGUUUAAAUAGUGGUGUUAAGGUGCUCAGGUGUCUGCUGUCCUUCCAGCGCCAGAUGCCGAAAACAAAGAAAGAAAGAAAAUGAAAGAAGAAGUAGCCCGAUCCCAUGAUGUUUUGAUUUUUUUGCAGGGCUGGUUUUGCUCCACCAGCCUGCUGUCUCGUUCUCAGAUCUUGCAGUCGUUCAUGUUUGAUGUGGUGAGGGCUGGGGGCUGUCUGAGUGGGGAGAGUGCAGGCGAAUCCCACAGGGCCCCACUGGGGGGGCUGCUUUGGAACCCUCAUCGUUCUCUGCCCGAGGACACGGGCACUGCAGCCAGCGGUGGGGACACCCCUUGGUCUCUCUGGAAGGGACCCCUCGCCCAGCCCUUUGCUAAGGCCAUGAGUGCAGUCCCCUGGAAACGCACUGCAGCACGAGCAGCGUUUCUCCUUUCACCCGGGUUCUGCGCAGGGAUCACAGCCCGGGGAGCACGAGGCUUUGGUGUGUGGGCUUCCAGCAGCUUUCAGAUCUGCUUUAGCAUUACCUGUGUUGAAGCAGGAAAUAAAUAAUGUAUGUGGGAAGCGCGGUAAUGUGUUGUGGCACCGAAACCCUGGAGAUGGCUGAAUAAUAAAUAAAAGCCUCUCCUUUUGUCAUGCCCGUGUCCUUGCUCCAGACCCUGUAGCCGCGUUGCUAACACUUGUGCUGUGUGGAUAAACGUGUUUUCUGCUUGACACGAGCUGCCCCCGAGCAGCAGCGUGGGGCUCCAUUGGGCGCAGCGGGGUCAGAAGGGAGACCUGGGGAUGGCAGCACUGCCCUGCUGUCCCCAUCGGGCUGCACUGCAUGACUGGUUGGUGCCUGUGAGAAUGGCCAAAACCCACAUUGGCCCCGCACAUCCUUGCUGCUGGCAGAGAGAAUCGAUGGGGCGGGAUUGCUUUGGGGCAGAGGGCAUCGAUCCCCUUCUCUCUGUGUGCUGCCAGGUGCCAGGCUGGGUCACUGGGUGCUGCUGGAAGCACACCUGUGCAACCUGGCAUGGCAUGCUGAGAAGCCCAGCCUGCAGCAGGAGCAGCUGCGGUGCA
Numida meleagris (helmeted guineafowl) is the source of this 16675-nucleotide long non-coding RNA. RefSeq lists it as uncharacterized. The record is from RefSeq and is a predicted model, not a curated record. Lineage: Eukaryota; Metazoa; Chordata; Aves; Galliformes; Numididae. The transcript has 4 exons.